This 902-nucleotide long non-coding RNA is filed under the name Ananas comosus (pineapple). RNAcentral describes it as "long non-coding RNA (ACOM_LNC003141)". Lineage: Eukaryota; Viridiplantae; Streptophyta; Magnoliopsida; Poales; Bromeliaceae. The record is from RNAcentral.
GUUAUUGUGGAAUGAUAGAAGACAUCAUGAUUAUAUAAGAAUCUUAUAGUUUGGUAUAUUUUUAGUUCUAGCUCAUGUAACAAUUGAGCUCGUAUCAUAUUGGACAAGGUUCAAAAUAUCGCUCUUGUGCCGGUCGGCUCGGAGAGAUAUGUACGUACUACCAAUUAAGGAGGACGAUGCAAGGGGAGUCUCUCUUGGCAGCCGUGCCAUGAUACUCAAAGGAUAUCGCACGAGACGUCGCGAUUCUCGAAGAGUAUCGUGCUACAGUGCAGCUACGCGUGUAUAAAGACACGCAGUAUUUUAAGUUUUAACCAACCCCGUACUUUUUUUUUUUCCUUUUCUCUGGGCCUACUUUUGGAUCCCCCCUCCCCCCACAUCCUUUUUCUUUCAUUCUCUUCUACCUUUUUUCUUUUCAACUUGCUCUUUCAUUUUUUCUUUUCUACUCACUCUUCCUUUUUUUCGUUUCUAUUUUUUCCUCCUUUUUUUUAUUAUAAUUUUUUUCUCUAAUUUCUUCUCAAUACCUUCUAUUUCUACUUUGUUUUCAAGGGAUAAUUGCCUAAAUGCCCCUCAAAAUCUCUGAAAUAUUUUAUCUAUCCCUUUUUUAUUUCAAAUAUAUUUCUUAUAUAUUUCUCCGUUAUUCAAAAAGAAUCCUACUAUUAGUGCCCUUUAAGUCAUCUGGGAUUAAACCUGAAUUAAAUUUCUAACAUAGCUAAGAAAUAGUGAAAAUACCUAUUUUGUCCCUUAAGGACAAAUAAGAAAAUUUGGUGAAGGCAGAAGGAUAUGCUUGGAAAGGCAAAAAGUCAAAAAUACUUCUUUUACCCCUAACUUAAGAGCAAAUAAGAAAAGUUGGUAAAGAUAAAAAAUUCUAAUAAUUGGAUCAAAGAAACCUUGAAAUCUUAUAC